UUGUGUACCGGAGGACGAAGAAAGAAGAAAGAAAUGGAUAAUUUCAAUGAAAAGGAUUGCUGGAUGCCAAUCGACUGUGGCAGCCAUCUUACCAUGACAGAAUUUGAAGUCUACACUUCAUCUCCGGUUGCCUGGGGGUGCUGCUGCUCCUGCACUUCACUGAUGACCUACCUCUGUGCUGCGCGUACAGCUGCCCCGGGGAGAUGCCUCCUGACCGUCUGCCUGGGACUGUUGCAGCCCUCCGGAGCCGGGCCCACCUGUCCUUAGCUGCUGUGUGUUUCUCGCCUUCUACCGUUCUCCCCACUUUUGCUCCGCACACCUCCUGGAAUAAAAGGAAGCAGUGGAGAUAUUUCAGACCCUGGGAGUCCUGACAGCUCCCAGUCCAGAUCUGGCCAGCCGGGUCCAUGUCUUCUCAUACCAGCAGCAUGUGACUGUGACGCAAAUACUUCUGCCUCUGGUGAGCCAGAGCUGCAAGGCCGACGUCCCAUCAAGCCUCUUCCCUCCUCCUCUACCACAGCAUGGU
Long non-coding RNA from Fundulus heteroclitus (mummichog), 523 nucleotides. RefSeq lists it as uncharacterized. The transcript is spliced from 4 exons. The record is from RefSeq and is a predicted model, not a curated record. NCBI's taxonomy places the organism in Eukaryota, Metazoa, Chordata, Actinopteri, Cyprinodontiformes, Fundulidae.